Long non-coding RNA from Parus major (Great Tit), 2394 nucleotides. RefSeq lists it as uncharacterized. Lineage: Eukaryota; Metazoa; Chordata; Aves; Passeriformes; Paridae. The transcript has 5 exons. The record is from RefSeq and is a predicted model, not a curated record.
GAGCUGUCCCUGCCAUGGCAGGGGAUGGAACGGGAUCUUAAAAUCCCUUCCAAUCCAAACCAUUCAAUAAUUUCACAUAGAUAACUAAAGGAAAGAGUCCAUAUCCUAGACUAAGAAGAAAAAUGAAGUACAUUACUUUGAGGUUUCCUGUCCAACUAAGCUGAUGGAUCUUUUAGUGUUCCCCUCGAAAUUGCAAACAGACUUGUACUCAUUGGCCGAAGGAUUUUGUACGGGUUGCAGUUGAAUAGCGCUGACUGUUCAAUAAAUUAAUCCUCAAAAAUUCAAAAUAUGCCAAAUAGCUGGGGAAAGUGUAAACGCUGACUUUGUCACUUAGCAGAUGUGGACUCCACUUCUGGAGAAAGAGCAGACGAAGCUGGAUAACAACGAAGCUCUGUGGUGAAAUUGGUUGGGCUCUGUGAGAACACUCGAGGAGUGCUGUGCUGGAGCAGCCAGGUUAAGGGUUUCAGAAUUUUUGUUGUCACUGGCUCCACAAAGGGAAUCUUGGAUUGCCCCCUGCUUGGAUAGUGAUCACCUCAUGCCACUGAAUUCACUGGGAGUUUUACCCACAACGUGAUUGUUAUGGCGGCUUCGAAAGUCCUUAUCUGUUUUUCUAGAUACAUGGGUGAAACUCUGACCCUGUGUUUGAGGGUUUAUUAUUGUUUUUAUUAUUAUUUUCUGCCUUGACAAUGGCUAACAAUGUUUACUAUUGCUUUAUAAACACAAAGUCGGUUACUAAUGAGUAAAAGGGAGAGGUUUGCUGGAGUAGCCAGGGAGGAGGAGGUGGUUCUGUUAUGACCUAAGUCCCGCAGAUUUUCAGAUUCAAAUGUCAGAGUGGUGGGCUGCUCUCCAGUGACCGUGGUCAUGUUGGGAUCUGAAGGAGUUUUAUUUCCCUGAGCUCCAGGGAACAGGCAACGUCAGUCUGGUUACACGGCCAGCUUUGGGAUUUGAGCUGAACAAUGUGUUUGUGCUUGUUUGGUAAAGGGAAUUUAUUGGAGAUGCUGACCUGGGCCAAGUUCCUUAAGUGAAAUGGGGUUGACUUGGAGUUGAUGUCUUAGUGGAUUUCUGGGUGUUGUGGAUUUAUGGUGUUAGCCACAUGUGAAGCAGAGUAAAGGGAAAAGUGUGGAUUUCGUAACUCUGAGGAAUUGAGCUAAAGGGGAAAAUCAAGGAGUAAAAUGUAGCAUGGAUUACAAGAAGCUUUACAACUCUCUGAGCUGCCUGCAUUAAUUCCAAACUUGCUCUUCAGGAGCCUGAAAAACUCUGGACGAGCUCAGGAAGCUGAACUGGAAACUUGAAAAGGAAAUCAUGAUUAGGGCUCAUCUACAGCAAGAAAUAUUGUGAUUAAGCUGGAGGAAUUUCACAGCCAUAAGCAAGGCAAAGGAGGAAAACAGACCUGACAAGGAACAGCCAACACCCUGAGUUUUGCUGUCACAUACCUGCCUCACAUAAAUGUGCAAUUGCCCUCCCAACACAGGCAGAAGGAUGAAAUGAACGCUCAAUACCAAUCUCCAUCCUGCCCAGGAAGGAUUCUGAAACGUGUCCCGCAGGAGUUGGGCAUGUUCCAGCUUUCCUGGGCUGUGUUUCCUGGGGAGCAGCGCUAUGAGGCAAUGCCCUGGGCUAGGAAUUCAUCCCAGCACGGCUGCUGAAAGCAAACAAUGCAGAAGGACUCAUCUGAGAUGUACGUUGUCAGGCCUGAAUCCCAUUCUUUGGAAAAUCUCUGCAUGGAUUUCUUUAAACUCUGUUUUUGAUGACACUGAUUCUGGCUGAAGAUACUUUCCUGUGUCCAGCUCUAAAAGAAGUGGUUCCUAAACCUGAAUUUUCUGGUUUAGAUCUGACAAGUCUCACGAGCAGAAAACAAGUACGGAUAAAGUACCAACCCUGACCGUUCAGCAUCCACCACUUGAGGGCUGGAGUGAUGAAGGACCUUCCUCAGUGGUACAAGUCAUCUGUGCCAAAAUAUCUCUCCUGACUCACAAGUUAUCAGAACUGGAGGGCAGAGUUUUCCAAGGACUGCUGGUGAGUGUGGAGCCCCAGACCAUUUUUCCAUCCCCUCAUCUUUCCCCCUUUCUCCUCUCCCACUCAUCCACGAGGAGCAGCUGCAGGAUUCACUUGCAGCCAGAAGGGAAGACAGGCAGACAGCUGUCAUGCUGUGAGCCAGACCUUAAACUGUGCUUUGGAGGGGAACUUUUGAGCUUGGUUUCCCACUUGCAGAACAAAGAGCAGCUGCUUUUGACACUUGUAGCUUUGUGCUGAUGCUGGAGUUUGAUUUGCAAUUACAGAUCCCACGUAGGGAAACUGGAUUCAAACAACCAGUGCACAACAUUCUCUCUGGACUUCUUUUCAUUGAUCUUUUCACUGGGAAAAUAAACCCUCUGGAAAAAUGACUCCACAAUGAAA